UACGGGGGGAGCAAGCGUUGUUCGGAUUUACUGGGCGUAAAGGGCGCGUAGGCGGCGUGACAAGUCACUUGUGAAAUCUCCGGGCUUAACCCGGAAAGGUCAAUCGAUACUGCGGGGCUAGAGUGCAGAAGGGGCAACUGGAAUUCUCGGUGUAGCGGUGAAAUGCGUAGAUAUCGAGAGGAACACCUGCGGCGAAGGCGGGUUGCUGGGCUGAUACUGACGCUGAGGCGCGAAAGCCAGGGGAGCGAACGGG
This 253-nucleotide ribosomal RNA is filed under the name uncultured bacterium. RNAcentral describes it as "partial 16S ribosomal RNA". It matches the Rfam family "Bacterial small subunit ribosomal RNA", at positions 524 to 776 of the family's 1533-position model. The record is from RNAcentral.